AGGCCUGCACAGAUGUGGGUCUUCUCCCUCAUGACGGUCACGGGAAGCGACCUGGGUCAGGGUUCCAGAAACACAUCCAAAAGGGAACACGGCCGUCCGACACACAAGAUGCUGGAGCUGAGCUUCAAACACCCUCGGUGCCGAUCUCCCCAGGUCCCAACAGGCUGGAGCUCCUGGGCAUCGCCGUGGUUACAUGGAAGGGCAGUGAGGAGAGCAAAUGACAAAGAUGAUCCGUGGCCCACAGAUCACGUGGUGUAGAGGUGGAUGAGCUCUUGGGAGUCUACCAGUUCAACCACCCUCAUCGCCCAGCAAUUGAAAGGAAUGGCCACAAGGCAGUGACCAUACCAAGGUCAAAAGCAGGCAGAUGUGAGAGGUUAGAGCGGGUCAGCAAAUAAUGGCAACAGGCAGUGCUAGCCUCUAUGGCUUUCUUUUUAAAAUGGAAAAAAAAACUCACAAGAAAUAUAUGCACCUCUAUAAAAAUGCAGUGCAUACAUGUAUAUGUACAUAUGAGUGUGGGAUGUGAAUAAAAUUAAUCAA
Molecule: non-coding RNA, 537 nt
Organism: Peromyscus maniculatus bairdii (prairie deer mouse)
Lineage: Eukaryota; Metazoa; Chordata; Mammalia; Rodentia; Cricetidae
Source: RefSeq, a predicted model, not a curated record